AUCUAUCUCUGAUUAAAACAAAAUAAUAUUUCACUGCUAAUCUAUUAAUGACUUUGGCCUUUAGCUGCUGUCCAGUAGCUUUUGAUUCUCCUGUUGCAAUCUGACCAGCAAGUGAUUAUGCAGGUUCUCUCCAGCUGAUCCAUGGAUUUCUUGAAACUGAUACUCUGUGGGAAGCAGUAGUGCUGAACAGAGCAAGUUGGAUGCCUUGCCUACAGCCCCUUUUUUCUAUAAAGUCCUCCCCAACCUGAAGCUUAAACAUGCUUGGAGAUGUCUGCAGGAAUACUUGAGUGUUAUUCUGACAGCGUAAAAAAAACAAGGAAAGACUUCUGUGGACACUCAUAACUGCUCCAUUGAACCAAGGCAGCUGCUGAAGACAGCACU
RNAcentral lists this long non-coding RNA (381 nucleotides) under Zonotrichia albicollis (white-throated sparrow). Its description in RNAcentral is "lncRNA (ENSZALG00000000192.1)". Lineage: Eukaryota; Metazoa; Chordata; Aves; Passeriformes; Passerellidae. The record is from RNAcentral.